AAACCACAGGUUUAUACACAGUGAUCAUUCCCACCAUAAAUCUCAGUUAAAUUAGGGAAGGCACAAAUCUUAAGGAACAAACCAUGUGGUUACAUAGA
Molecule: non-coding RNA, 98 nt
Organism: Pseudonaja textilis
Lineage: Eukaryota; Metazoa; Chordata; Lepidosauria; Squamata; Elapidae
Source: RefSeq, a predicted model, not a curated record